Long non-coding RNA from Gasterosteus aculeatus aculeatus (three-spined stickleback), 2035 nucleotides. NCBI's taxonomy places the organism in Eukaryota, Metazoa, Chordata, Actinopteri, Perciformes, Gasterosteidae. The record is from Ensembl.
GCCCUGGACCAUGUGACCACGUGCUGCGGGGUUAAAUGCGGGGCGGUUCCUGUAGCUGCUCUUUUCUACUUUAAUCGAUCAGGAACUCGUGCACUUGGGAUCAAAGCAGGAGGAUUUCACGUCAUUGUUUGCAUCGUUUCCGUCGUGCGUUUUUAAGGCUUCGCCGUGACUUGUUGGUCCGUCUCGGGCCGUCUCUCGUAAACAAAAAGGACGACAGCAGUGGUUCUCCACAUUAGUUAUUAAGAUAUUAAAGGGGUCCGACUGGACUUCUGGUGGCACUCGUGACAGAACUUGGAGCUGAACCCGCGUGUUGAAGCUGCUUUCUGUUUUUCACCCAUGACUUUUUGUCAUGUGUUCAUAGCCGCCACAUUGCCUACGUUGCUCUUUGUGUGUGUGUGUGUGUAGUACGUAUGACCUGUAUCAUGCAUCAACCUGUAUCAUGCACAGGAACAUUAGAAACAAGCUGAAACAAGACCAGAGACAUUCUAUAGCGCAUCUAAAUAUGUCCACCGUGUAGAACAUAUAAGAAAAAUGAAUCAAGGCAUUUACACAAUCACUUCUCCUUUACUGCAGUUUUUUGUCGAUGUAGAGAAUGCGAAUGAUUAAGGAAUGCAGUUUUGCAUGCUGACAUAAUGCAUGUAUUUCAUUAACUAUGCAAGACUCUGCAGCGUAGAGAGCAGAGCAGCCUGUUGUAGCCCAUUGCUUCAUUUGCACACAUUUCCAAUGUUAAGAAUUUGUCACUUACAUAAUAUUAACUGUACAGUUAAAAAGAUUCCACCAUAAAAAAAUGUAUAUACGCGAUGCCGUCAUUUCUUUUGUUUUUGUAAUUCUGCUGAUCUGGGUGCUCCGACCUCACAGGGACGGUUCUGACUUUUUGUUUUGCUGUUGAACACCAGCAGAGACAAACAUCAUGUAUGUAUAUGUAUGUUUUGUGAGGAAAAAGGCUCCGUUAAUUCAAUUUGUUGAACAGUUUGUUGAAAUGUUCUUAGCUGCAUCAAAGAUCAGCUUGUCUUCACUAUAGAGGCCACUCAAAUAAAUAGAUACACAUAUGUAUGCAAAUGUUAAAGGCAAUAAUAGAGAACAUUUAGUUUUGUAUUCGAGGAUGUAGCGAACAAUCACAUGGAAAUGUUCAGUUAAAACAUUUCGGUAUUUAUGCCGAGUCGAUCAUUGCAAUCAUGACUCUUUAUUGAAAACAGGCAGUGUGUCAGAAAACAAAGGACCACUAUUUUUAUUUUGAACUGGCUCCCUUUGUGUGUGUGCGUGUGUGUGUGUGUGUGUGUGCCCAUGCGUAAUCCUGCACAUUGACUUAUAGUUGUGUAGUUUUACAGAGUCACAUCUCUUUCAAGGCGAAACUAUGACAAAUGACAUUAUCUGCAACACGUUUUUGUAAUUUUACCACUUUACCAAUCAAAGUUGCAAUAACCACUGAAACUGAAAUGCCCGAAUCCUUCAGCUUCUGCCGGUACUCUGGUGCUUCAGCAAUACAGCUGCGCGCUGUCGUUCAUAUUAAACACUACAAACGUAUCUUACUGAAACCUUUCAGCAGCCUUAAGCAGAACAAACCGUAACGGAUAGUUUGUGUGUUUGGAGCUGAGGAGCCGCGUGAUGAAUGAAUGUCAUGAGUCUCAUUUUAACGUUCCCUCAGCUGAUAAAGAGCAACACUAGUGCUGCGUGCACAGCACGCCUCCACGUUGACCUUCUUUUACUCGUGAUUGUAUCAUUCUAAAAGCAUUUUGUAAAAUACACUGCGUUGCAUUUCUUGAGAUUGUUUUCACGAAUGAAUCCUGUUUUACUGUAUUUCAUUUCAUCUUUGUUUUAUAAUCUUUUUGUCUUUUAAGUGUUUGACAUUCAAUAAUUCAUUCGGAUAGGUCAAAAGCUUCUGUUAUGUUAAUUUAUUUGUCUUGUUGUCAAAGCUUGUCAUAUAUGCACUUUUACAUUUUUUUUUCCACCAAAAAGGACUAAUGUGUAAAUACUUUGUUGUUUUAUCAAUACAAGUAUAAAAUGACGAAUCGUAUUAAAAAUGUGUAAAAUUGGA